This 300-nucleotide ribosomal RNA is filed under the name uncultured Rhodoglobus sp. RNAcentral describes it as "bacterial SSU rRNA". It matches the Rfam family "Bacterial small subunit ribosomal RNA", at positions 496 to 795 of the family's 1533-position model. Lineage: Bacteria; Bacillati; Actinomycetota; Actinomycetes; Micrococcales; Microbacteriaceae. The record is from RNAcentral.
GUUGACUGAGGUCGAGCGGCCGCGUGAGUACGGAGGGGGGAAGCGGUGGCCGUAGUGAGUGGGGGUUAAGGGGGUUGAGGCGGCGUGGCAGGUACGCUGUGACAACUGGAGUCUGAACUUCCAGACGGCGAUGGAAAGCGGCCGGCUAGAGUCCGGAAGAGGAGAGUGGAAUUCCUGGUGUAGCGGUGAAAUGCGCAGAUAUCAGGAAGAACACCAAUGGCGAAGGCAGCUCUCUGGGACGGUACUGACGCUGAGACGCGAAAGCGUGGGGAGCGAACAGGAUUAGAUACCCGAGUAGUC